Molecule: long non-coding RNA, 1034 nt
Organism: Stylophora pistillata
Lineage: Eukaryota; Metazoa; Cnidaria; Anthozoa; Scleractinia; Pocilloporidae
Source: RefSeq, a predicted model, not a curated record
UAGAAAAAUGGCAUCCUAAAAGUUGUUGAGUCGAAGACCAAAGGAAAUGCAUCCGAUCCUUGUGUUAUACUUUGCCUUCAAAGAAGAGGGAAGAGCUAUUGAAAAGAGAAGGAAAUCCUACCAGUGCUGGGUGUCUGGUAGAGCUCCUGAUGGUAGAAUCCAACACUACAUGUUAAAGAUUCGAGAUUAGUUGUGAGCUAGGAAAGAUGUAAACAGGAUUGCUACACUAAAUGACUUUGUUAGUGAACAGAAUGAAAAGGCAGGAUGGAAUUGAGGUUGCUACAGGCUUCACGCCUAUCACUGAAGAAAACCGAGGAGGAAAUGUUCAAAUCAACUCUCUAUAAAUUAAAGAAACAUUUAUAAUUCCAUAAAAUUGUCUGAGAGAGGACACUUGGACUUGGAUGGCCACAGGAAUUAGAGAAAAGCAAAUCAGCAAAAUACAUGGUCUUAUCUCGGAUAUGUUUGGUAAUGUCAUUACCGGAAACAUUUUACAUGCAGUCAUUCACUCAUCGGUUAUUGUGAUGUGCCUCUGCAUUGAGAAGAACAUUAACCUAAUAAACUUGAUGAAAGAGACUUUAUUUCCAUAUUUCUACCAAUGUAAUUUCACAAAAACAGUUAAAGGGGAGGAUGUAAUGGUGACUCCCCUUAUGGUGUAUGACAGAGUGUUAGAUUUUCCCUUUGAAUUGUCUUUGAUUCAACUUUGAGACAGAGAGAGAAUUAGCACCAGUUGCACCAGAGGUCAGAGGGCUUUAUUCUGUGUACCCCUUCACUGGAAGGCCUCAUUCAGAGGGUGUAUUGGUUAUUGCCCUCCUCGCUGUAAACUUCCUUCAAACUUUAGAUUUAAAAAAAGGAAGAAAGAAACCUCUCAGAGAUGGCAACUGCAUACUUUUCCAAAUCUGGAUGUAUUCUUUUUGUUCCAACUUGAAAGCUAGAUCCACAUGAAUUUACCUCCUUGUUCUUAAAAUUCCUUUUGAUUGCAUCAAAUAACCAUCAGUAAAAGACAUUUCACUUUAAUAAAUUGCCUUCAAAUCAGA